Molecule: non-coding RNA, 106 nt
Organism: Acanthosepion pharaonis
Lineage: Eukaryota; Metazoa; Mollusca; Cephalopoda; Sepiida; Sepiidae
Source: the annotation of a GenBank genome assembly
UCCGGUCAUAUCACGUUGAAACGAUGGUUCCCAUCCGACCACCGAAAUAAAGCAAUGUCGAGUCUGAUCAGUACCCAGAUGGGUCACCGCUUUGGAAUGCCAGCUC